Molecule: ribosomal RNA, 318 nt
Filed under: Triticum aestivum (bread wheat)
Lineage: Eukaryota; Viridiplantae; Streptophyta; Magnoliopsida; Poales; Poaceae
Description: partial small subunit ribosomal RNA
Source: RNAcentral
UGCGCCGCCGCUUAGUACAAGGUGGGCGGGCUGGACGCGUGGGGGGUGCCGCCGUCCAGCAAGUUGGACGUGUAUGUGCGGUGGGCCAAGUCCGUCCCCGUCAAGCUCGGCGACGCCCUCUUCUUCCUCUACCCGCCCAGCCAGGACAGUGUCAUGCAGCUCACCGCCAAGGCCUUCACCUCCUGCGAUGUGUCCGACCCGCUGCUCAAGCUGGAGGACGGCAACUCCGUCUUCAACCUCACCAAGCCCGGGCGGGCCUACUUCAGCAGCGCCGCCUCGGCGUGCUGCCGCAAGGGCGAGAAGUUCAAGCUGCGAUGA